Molecule: ribosomal RNA, 403 nt
Filed under: uncultured bacterium
Lineage: Bacteria
Description: partial 16S ribosomal RNA
Rfam family: Bacterial small subunit ribosomal RNA
Source: RNAcentral
AUUGAACGCUGGCGGCAGGCCUAACACAUGCAAGUCGAGCGAGCGGCGGACGGGUGAGUAAUGUAUGGGGACUGCCCGAUAGAGGGGGAUCACUACUGGAAAAGGUAGCUAAUACCGCAUACUAUCGGAUAACCCAUAUGGGAUUAGCUGGUAGGUGAGGGAAUGUCGCACCUAGGCGACGAUCCCUAGCUGGUCUGAGAGGAUGAUCAGCCACACUGGGACUGAGACACGGCCCUGACUCCUACGGAGGCAGCAGUGGGGAAUAUUGCACAAUGGGCGCAAGCCUGAUGCAGCCAUGCCGCGUGUAUGAAGAAGGCCCUAGGGUUGUAAAGUACUUUCAGUCGGGAGGCGUUACCGACAGAAGAAGCACCGGCUAACUCCGUGCCAGCAGCCGCGGUAAUUC